Molecule: small nucleolar RNA, 72 nt
Filed under: Leishmania panamensis
Lineage: Eukaryota; Euglenozoa; Kinetoplastea; Trypanosomatida; Trypanosomatidae
Description: H/ACA-like snoRNA
Source: RNAcentral
GGCAUAGCUCGAAGGUCAUCAUCGUUUUACUACUUCAUCGUAGGGUGCUUUAGGCUCACAGUCUGUGCGAGA